CCCUUAGAUGUUCUGGGCCGCACGCGCGCUACACUGAUACGUUCAACGAGUCCAAAACCUUGAUUGAUAGGUCUGGGUAAUCUUUUGAAUACGUAUCGUGCUAGGGAUAGAUUAUUGCAAUUAUUAAUCUUCAACGAGGAAUUCCUAGUAAGCGCGAGUCAUCAGCUCGCGUUGAUUACGUCCCUGCCCUUUGUACACACCGCCCGUCGCUCCUACCGAUUGAAUGGUCCGGUGAAAUCUUCGGAUUGCUGACCAAGAUCCAGCAAUGGAGCUUGGUUGCGAGAAGUUGAUUAAACCUUAUUAUUUAGAGGAAGGAGAAGUCGUAACA
This 328-nucleotide ribosomal RNA is filed under the name uncultured eukaryote. RNAcentral describes it as "partial 18S ribosomal RNA". It matches the Rfam family "Eukaryotic small subunit ribosomal RNA", at positions 1470 to 1796 of the family's 1831-position model. The record is from RNAcentral.